UACGAGGGUGUCAAACGUUGUCCGGAAUUAUUGGGCGUAAAGGGCGCGUAGGCGGCCAAGUAAGUCAGAUGUGAAAUCGCUGGGCUCAACCCAGCAAUUGCAUUUGAAACUGCUAGGCUAGAGAUCGGUAGAGGAGGGCGGAAUUCCUGGUGUAGCGGUGAAAUGCGUUGAUAUCAGGAGGAACACCCGUGGCGAAGGCGGCUCUCUGGACCGAUUCUGACGCUGAGGCGCGAAAGCUAGGGGAGCAAACAGG
This 253-nucleotide ribosomal RNA is filed under the name uncultured bacterium. RNAcentral's name for it is "partial 16S ribosomal RNA". It matches the Rfam family "Bacterial small subunit ribosomal RNA", at positions 524 to 776 of the family's 1533-position model. The record is from RNAcentral.